Non-coding RNA from Chiloscyllium plagiosum (whitespotted bambooshark), 1296 nucleotides. The record is from RefSeq and is a predicted model, not a curated record. Lineage: Eukaryota; Metazoa; Chordata; Chondrichthyes; Orectolobiformes; Hemiscylliidae.
CGUCCCCCGAAUCACUUCCGGAAUGAUGUCAGCUCCUUCCCUUCCACGGUAACAUAAAGCAGCCUGUGUGUGCGUGGUGCAAGAUGAUCUUGUUGUAUUGGGACGUGGACUGCUUUAGUUUCUGAGAAGUCAAAUAUUGUGCAAUCAUCAGCAAACAACCCCACUUCUGAUCUUUGUGAUGGUAGGAAGGUCCUUGAUUGAUCAGCUGAAGAUGGGUGGGGCCAAGACCCUACCAUGAGCAACAUUUGCAGGGAUGUCUUGGAACUGACAUCACCUGAUUUCCAACAACCACAACCGUCUUCCUUCAUGCCAGUACUGCCUUUGUGUGUAGAGCAAAGAUUCGUGGAGAAGUGUCACCACGAGUAGACGCACAACUACUUUUGGGGACAUUGAGAAUCUUUCGCCGGCUGUCCGAUAAUAAAGCAUCUACUAUUGUGCUGAAACUUGUGACAUCCGGAUUUGUGGAACAAAAUAUACAUCACCAUUUGGUGCCAUGACUAAGACGUCAACAUAGGGAAUGUCUCACUGGGUUGAGUAAGUGAAACGCAAGUCGGAAUUGAACAGAACAGAGCAAUAAGUGUGCCUCGGGGUAUUUUACCCCAGACUGCUCCUUGUGUUCAACCAGACAAUCUGUCCCUUGCCCAGUGGAACUGGUACCUUGAAGAGGUCGAACGAACCACCUGGAUUCAGCUUGUAAGGUCGGAAAAUUUUGUCAGAUUGCUCUGAAUUGCUGCGGGUAACAUUGGCUCCUCUGUAUUGUUCCUGUAGGAAAAAGGUCGGGACCUGGAGACCCCAGUCAGGGAAGUGAUCAUCACUACCUGACAGGUUCGGUUUAGGAAGCUGCCUCUUUCAGAUAUGGCCGGUGGAAAUUACUAUAUAAGGAAAGAGGGCAGGCUCAGUAAAUUUCUCACCCCGCAGUAUGGACAGUGGAAAUUGUUUAUAGCGGAGCAAGGAGUCAUAAAGUAAAAUGGGAUAGUCCCUCUAUGUAGUUGGGAAGGGGGACAAUCUGUGAGAAAAUACCUGAUCAGGAAAAUGGUUAUAGGCCCGUCUAAGAGAUUGGUCAUUUUGGUAAUUUGUAAUAUACAAAUUAAAGGAUAUCCAGUUUGAAUUUUUGAUUGAUUGUGAUGGAAUGUGUGGUGAAAGCUUUCAUUUGAAUGGUAAAUUGAUUCCAAAACUAUGACUUAGCACUUUUAAUUGCAAUCACAUUAAAUCAAUUGAUCAAGGUGCCAGUGUUUAGGAGAAAGUGAGGACUGCAGAUGCUGGAGACCAGAGUUGAAAAGUGUGGUGUUGGAAAAG